Transfer RNA from Sphaerulina musiva SO2202, 112 nucleotides. It matches the Rfam family "tRNA". From Rfam's summary of the family: Transfer RNA (tRNA) molecules are approximately 80 nucleotides in length. The record is from Rfam. NCBI's taxonomy places the organism in Eukaryota, Fungi, Ascomycota, Dothideomycetes, Mycosphaerellales, Mycosphaerellaceae.
GGAGGUUUGGCCGAGUGGUUAUGGCGUGUGACUCAAGUUUCGACUUAUCCAACACAGUUGGAGAGCAUUCUCAUGGGCUUUGCCCGCGAGGGUUCGAAUCCCUCAGCCUUCA